RNAcentral lists this ribosomal RNA (433 nucleotides) under uncultured bacterium. Its description in RNAcentral is "partial 16S ribosomal RNA". It matches the Rfam family "Bacterial small subunit ribosomal RNA", at positions 29 to 507 of the family's 1533-position model. The record is from RNAcentral.
AACGAACGCUGGCGGCAUGCCUAACACAUGCAAGUCGAACGAGACCUUCGGGUCUAGUGGCGCACGGGUGCGUAACGCGUGGGAACCUGCCCUUAGGUUCGGAAUAACUCCCCGAAAGGGGUGCUAAUACCGGAUAAUGUCUUCGGACCAAAGAUUUAUCGCCUUUGGAUGGGCCCGCGUUGGAUUAUCUAGUUGGUAGGGUAAAAGCCUACCAAGGCGACGAUCCAUAGCUGGUCUGAGAGGAUGAUCAGCCACACUGGGACUGAGACACGGCCCAGACUCCUACGGGAGGCAGCAGUGGGGAAUAUUGGACAAUGGGCGAAAGCCUGAGCCAUCAAUGCCGCGUGAGUGAUGAAGGCCUUAGGGUUGUAAAGCUCUUUUACCCGGGAUGAUAAUGACAGUACCGGGAGAAUAAGCGCCGGCUAACUCCGUG